CCUACGGGUGGCAGCAGUGAGGAAUAUUGGUCAAUGGGCGCGAGCCUGAACCAGCCAAGUAGCGUGAAGGAUGACUGCCCUACGGGUUGUAAACUUCUUUUAUAAAGGAAUAAAGUGAGGCACGUGUGCCUUUUUGUAUGUACUUUAUGAAUAAGGAUCGGCUAACUCCGUGCCAGCAGCCGCGGUAAUACGGAGGGUCCGAGCGUUAUCCGGAUUUAUUGGGUUUAAAGGGAGCGUAGAUGGGUUGUUAAGUCAGUUGUGAAAGUUUGCGGCUCAACCGUAAAAUUGCAAUUGAUACUGGCAGUCUUGAGUACAGUAGAGGUAGGCGGAAUUCGAGGUGUAGCGGUGAAAUGCUUAGAGAUCACGAAGAACACCGAUUGCGAAGGCAGCUUACUAAACUGCCACUGACGUUGAUGCGCGAAAGUGUGGGUAGCAAACAGGAUUAGAUACCCUUGUAGUC
Molecule: ribosomal RNA, 460 nt
Filed under: uncultured bacterium
Lineage: Bacteria
Description: partial 16S ribosomal RNA
Rfam family: Bacterial small subunit ribosomal RNA
Source: RNAcentral